This 478-nucleotide ribosomal RNA is filed under the name uncultured bacterium. Its description in RNAcentral is "partial 16S ribosomal RNA". It matches the Rfam family "Bacterial small subunit ribosomal RNA", at positions 28 to 507 of the family's 1533-position model. The record is from RNAcentral.
GAUGAACGCUGGCGGCGUGCUUAACACAUGCAAGUCGAACGGGAAACCUUUUAAUGAAGCUUCGGCAGAUUUAGCUGGUUUCUAGUGGCGGACGGGUGAGUAACGCGUGGGUAACCUGCCUUAUACAGGGGGAUAACAGUCAGAAAUGACUGCUAAUACCGCAUAAGCGCACAGGACCGCAUGGUCCGGUGUGAAAAACUCCGGUGGUAUAAGAUGGACCCGCGUUGGAUUAGCUUGUUGGUGGGGUAACGGCCCACCAAGGCGACGAUCCAUAGCCGGCCUGAGAGGGUGAACGGCCACAUUGGGACUGAGACACGGCCCAGACUCCUACGGGAGGCAGCAGUGGGGAAUAUUGCACAAUGGGGGAAACCCUGAUGCAGCGACGCCGCGUGAAGGAAGAAGUAUCUCGGUAUGUAAACUUCUAUCAGCAGGGAAGAUAGUGACGGUACCUGACUAAGAAGCCCCGGCUAACUACGUG